RNAcentral lists this transfer RNA (60 nucleotides) under Brucella anthropi. RNAcentral's name for it is "Ochrobactrum anthropi tRNA-Asp". It matches the Rfam family "tRNA", at positions 1 to 57 of the family's 71-position model. From Rfam's summary of the family: Transfer RNA (tRNA) molecules are approximately 80 nucleotides in length. Their secondary structure includes four short double-helical elements and three loops (D, anti-codon, and T loops). Further hydrogen bonds mediate the characteristic L-shaped molecular structure. tRNAs have two regions of fundamental functional importance: the anti-codon, which is responsible for specific mRNA codon recognition, and the 3' end, to which the tRNAs corresponding amino acid is attached (by aminoacyl-tRNA synthetases). tRNAs cope with the degeneracy of the genetic code in two manners: having more than one tRNA (with a specific anti-codon) for a particular amino acid; and 'wobble' base-pairing, i.e. permitting non-standard base-pairing at the 3rd anti-codon position. RNAcentral also lists the same sequence under 1 other name. The record is from RNAcentral. Lineage: Bacteria; Pseudomonadati; Pseudomonadota; Alphaproteobacteria; Hyphomicrobiales; Brucellaceae.
GCGGGUGUAGCUCAGUUGGUUAGAGUGCCGGCCUGUCACGCCGGAGGUCGCGGGUUCGAG